ACCAUCUAGCGACCUCCACUCACCCCUGACCAUCUAGCGACCUCCACGUGAAAGGGGAGUAGCCCAAAGCGGGUAGCAUAACGAGUUAGUGGAAGCGUCUGGAAAGUCGCACGAUAGAGGGUGAAAGUCCCGUACACGAAGGUUUGUUGUGUGGAAGCUUGAAGAGUAGGGCGGGACACGUGAUAUCCUGUCUGAANANGGGGGGACCANNCUCCAAGNCUAAAUACUCNUNANUGACCGAUAGUGAACCAGUACCGUGAGGGAAAGGCGAAAAGAACCCCGGGAGGGGAGUGAAAUAGACCCUGAAACCGUGUACGUACAAUCAGUGGGAGCAUGUACCGUUGGGUAUGUGUGACUGCGUACCUUUUGUAUAAUGGGUCAGCGACUUAUAUUCUGUAGCAAGGUUAACCGAAAAGGGGAGCCGAAGGGAAACCGAGUAUUAACUGUGCGUUAAGUUGCAGGGUAUAGACCCGAAACCCGGUGAUCUAGCCAUGGGCAGGUUGAAGGUUGGUUAACACUAACUGGAGGACCGAACCGACUAAUGUUGAAAAAUUAGCGGAUGACCUGUGGCUGGGGGUGAAAGGCCAAUCAAACCGGGAGAUAGCUGGUUCUCCCCGAAAGCUAUUUAGGUAGCGCCUCAUGAGUAACUGUUGGGGGUAGAGCACUGUUUCGGCUAGGGGGCCAUCCCGGCUUACCAACCCGAUGCAAACUCCGAAUACUGACAAGUUUAAUCAUGGGAGACACACGGCGGGUGCUAACGUUCGUCGUGAAGAGGGAAACAACCCAGACCGCCAGCUAAGGUCCCAAAGUCAUAGUUAAGUGGGAAACGAAGUGGGAAGGCUUAGACAGCUAGGAUGUUGGCUUAGAAGCAGCCAUCAUUUAAAGAAAGCGUAAUAGCUCACUAGUCGAGUCGGCCUGCGCGGAAGAUGUAACGGGGCUAAAACUAUGCACCGAAGCUGCGGCAGUNCANGNAAGUGUAUUGGGUAGGGGAGCGUUCUGUAAGCCGNNGAAGGUGUNUUGNGANGNAUGCUGGAGGUAUCAGAAGUGCGAAUGCUGACNUNAGUAACGANAAAGCGGGUGAAAAGCCCGCUCGCCGGAAGACCAAGGGUUCCUGUCCAACGUUAAUCGGGGCAGGGUGAGUCGACCCCUAAGGAGAGGCCGAAGGGCGUAUCUGAUGGGAAACGGGUUAAUAUUNCCNUACUAGNGANNUCNACUGCGAUGGGGGGACGAAGAAGGCUAGGUUUACCACCUAUUGGAUGGUGGGUUAAGCGUGUAGGUGUGUGAUUAGGCAAAUCCGGUCACUGAGACACUGAGGCGUGAUGACGAGCUGCUAAGGCAGUGAAGUAAUUGAUGCCAAGCUUCCAGGAAAAGCCUCUAAGCUAUAGGUCAUAUGUAAUCGUACCCGAAACCGACACAGGUGGUCAGGUAGAGAAUACUCAGGCGCUUGAGAGAACUCGGGUGAAGGAACUAGGCAAAAUGGUGCCGUAACUUCGGGAGAAGGCACGCUGAUGUUAAUUGAAGUCCCACGCGGAUGGAGGUGAAAUCAGUCGAAGAUACCAGCUGGCUGCAACUGUUUAAUAAAAACACAGCACUGUGCAAACACGAAAGUGGACGUAUACGGUGUGACGCCUGCCCGGUGCGUGGANGUCGNUAGAUNGUNAGGGGUGCAAGCCCUGGAUCGAAGCCCCAGUAAACGGCGGCCGUAACGAUAACGGUCCUAAGGUAGCGAAAUUCCUUGUCGGGUAAGUUCCGACCUGCACGAAUGGCGUAACGAUGGCCACACUGUCUCCUCCUGAGACUCAGCGAAGUUGAAAUGUUUGUGAAGAUGCAAUCUCCCCGCUGCUAGACGGAAAGACCCCGUGAACCUUUACUGUAGCUUUGCAUUGGAUUUUGAACAGACUUGUGUAGGAUAGGUGGGAGGCUUAGAAGCUGGCACGCUAGUGCCGGUGGAGCCGUCCUUGAAAUACCACCCUAGUGUGUUUGGAAUUCUAACCUUGGUCCGUGAAUCCGGAUUGGGGACAGUGCAUGGUAGGCAGUUUGACUGGGGCGGUCUCCUCCCAAAGAGUAACGGAGGAGUUCGAAGGUUGCCUGGGGUGGAGGUCGCUAGAUGGUCAGGGUGGAGGUCGCUAGAUGGUC
This 2136-nucleotide ribosomal RNA is filed under the name insect metagenome. RNAcentral's name for it is "bacterial LSU rRNA". It matches the Rfam family "Bacterial large subunit ribosomal RNA", at positions 273 to 2377 of the family's 2925-position model. The record is from RNAcentral.